Molecule: ribosomal RNA, 695 nt
Filed under: Choricystis sp. ACT 0605
Lineage: Eukaryota; Viridiplantae; Chlorophyta; Trebouxiophyceae
Description: SSU rRNA
Rfam family: Bacterial small subunit ribosomal RNA
Source: RNAcentral
CCGCCACGGGAUGGGCUUGCGUCUGAUUAGCUUGUUGGGGUGGUAAAGGCACACCAAGGCGAUGAUCAGUAGCUGGUCUGAGAGGAUGAUCAGCCACACCGAGACUGAGAAACGGCUCGGACUCCUACGGGAGGCAGCAGUGAGGAAUUUUCCGCAAUGCGCGAAAGCGUGACGGAGCAAUGCGACGUGGAGGAUGACGGCCUGUGGGUUGUAAACUCCUUUUCUCAGAGAAGAAGUUCUGACGGUAUCUGAGGAAUAAGCACCGGCUAACUCCGUGCCAGCAGCCGCGGUAAUACGGGGGGUGCAAGCGUUAUCCGGAAUUAUUGGGCGUAAAGCGUCCUGAGGUGGCUUGAAAAGUCGUCCGUGAAAGCUCAGGGCUUAACCUUGAAACUGCGGUCGAAACUCCCAAGCUUUGAGUAGAGUAGAGGCAGAGGGAAUUUCCGGAGGAAUGGUGAAAUAUGUAGAUAUCGGAAAGAAGGCCAAAGGCGAAAGCACUCUGCUGGGCUCAUACUGACACUGAACGACGAAAGCUAAGGGAGCGAAAGGGAUUAGAUACCCCUGUAGUCUUAGCCGUAAACUAUGGAUACUAGGUGUUGCGUGAUUUAAAACCAUGCAGUGCCGUAGCAAACGCGUGAAGUAUCCCGCCUGGGGAGUAUGCUCGCAAGAGUGAACUCAAAGGAUUGACGGGGGCCGCA